UACGUAGGGGGCAAGCGUUGUCCGGAAUCAUUGGGCGUAAAGAGCGUGUAGGCGGCCCGGUAAGUCCGCUGUGAAAGUCCAGGGCUCAACCCUGGGAUGCCGGUGGAUACUGUCGGGCUCGAGUCCGGAAGAGGAGUGUGGAAUUCCUGGUGUAGCGGUGAAAUGCGUAGAUAUCGGGAGGAACACCAGUGGCGAAGGCGGCUUCCUGGCCUGUUCUUGACGCUGAGGCGCGAAAGCUAGGGGAGCAAACGGG
RNAcentral lists this ribosomal RNA (253 nucleotides) under uncultured bacterium. Its description in RNAcentral is "partial 16S ribosomal RNA". It matches the Rfam family "Bacterial small subunit ribosomal RNA", at positions 524 to 776 of the family's 1533-position model. The record is from RNAcentral.